Molecule: ribosomal RNA, 465 nt
Filed under: Vreelandella stevensii
Lineage: Bacteria; Pseudomonadati; Pseudomonadota; Gammaproteobacteria; Oceanospirillales; Halomonadaceae
Description: partial 16S ribosomal RNA
Rfam family: Bacterial small subunit ribosomal RNA
Source: RNAcentral
CCUACGGGAGGCUGCAGUGGGGAAUAUUGGACAAUGGGGGCAACCCUGAUCCAGCCAUGCCGCGUGUGUGAAGAAGGCCCUCGGGUUGUAAAGCACUUUCAGUGAGGAAGAACGCCUGGUGGUUAAUACCCAUCAGGAAAGACAUCACUCACAGAAGAAGCACCGGCUAACUCCGUGCCAGCAGCCGCGGUAAUACGGAGGGUGCGAGCGUUAAUCGGAAUUACUGGGCGUAAAGCGCGCGUAGGUGGCUUGAUAAGCCGGUUGUGAAAGCCCCGGGCUCAACCUGGGAACGGCAUCCGGAACUGUCAAGCUAGAGUGCAGGAGAGGAAGGUAGAAUUCCCGGUGUAGCGGUGAAAUGCGUAGAGAUCGGGAGGAAUACCAGUGGCGAAGGCGGCCUUCUGGACUGACACUGAUACUGAGGUGCGAAAGCGUGGGUAGCAAACAGGAUUAGAUACCCCGGUAGUC